Molecule: microRNA precursor, 120 nt
Filed under: Glycine max (soybean)
Lineage: Eukaryota; Viridiplantae; Streptophyta; Magnoliopsida; Fabales; Fabaceae
Also listed under: 1 other name
Description: MIR1520 microRNA precursor family
Rfam family: MIR1520 microRNA precursor family
Source: Rfam by way of RNAcentral
UUUUUAUUGGAUGAGGAUUGUCAUGUGUCAUAUUCUGAUUGGUUAAUAAAAAUAACAAUUCAUUUCAUCUUUCAUGGAGUUGACAUCCAAUCAAAACAUGACACGUGACAAUCAUCAUCC